This is a long non-coding RNA of Felis catus (domestic cat), 3148 nucleotides long. RefSeq lists it as uncharacterized. NCBI's taxonomy places the organism in Eukaryota, Metazoa, Chordata, Mammalia, Carnivora, Felidae. The transcript is spliced from 4 exons. The record is from RefSeq and is a predicted model, not a curated record.
GCUCCAGGCUCUGAGCUGUCAACACAGAGUCCAACGCAGGGCUCGAACUCAUGAAACAGGAGAUGGUGACCUGAGCAGACGUUGGACGCUCAACAAACUGAGCCACCCACGCAUCCCUAGUAUUUGUUCUUAUUGAAUCCCAUAGGCACGUAGGCUUUCUUCAAUCUUUUUCAUUGUUUUCUGUAUUCUCCGCUAAUCAGGUUAUUUCAAAAUUCCCAUCCUUUAAGUCACAUACUCUGUCUUCCAUUUGCUUUACUGAAGAUGUGCUCUAUUGCAUUUUCAUUUCACUUGUGGAGUUCUUCCAAGCCACAAUUUCUACUUGGUUCCUUUUUUUUUUUUUUUUUUUUUUUUUUUUUUUUUUUUUUUUGUGAUUCCUAUCUCCUUGGGAAGUAUCUUAUUUUAAACUUGUGUUUUUUUUCCCAUUUCACUGAAUUGUCUUUCUGAGUUUUCUUGUAGCACUUAGAGCUUCCUCAAAACAGCUAUUUUUUUACUUAUUAACUAGAUCACAAAAUUCCACGUUUUUAAGCUUGAUUAUUGGAGAAUUAACUUUUGAUGGUUUUCUUGAUUUUUUUCAUGUUCCUUGUAUUUUUGCAAUGCUGCUCUUGCAUUUGAAGUAGGAGACUCCUGUUUAACGGUUUGCUAGUUGCCUUCAGUAAGUUCUGGUUGUUAGUGUUGUUAUUACCUGGGUUAUCUCUGACUUUGGAUGGUACACCUGUUCCACUCUUCUCGUUCCCUCUUGUGGCAGAAUUCUUAAGCUCUAUGUCGUCUUUGGUUCUUAAAAUUCAUCUUACUGGCUACUGAAAGGAAACCGCUCUCCUGUUUUCCGGUGGAAGUGAUGCUUGUGGUUUCUCCCUUGCCCCAUAGCCUGGCUCUUUUCUGGUCUCAGAGCUUGCUCUGGCUGCUGAGCUCAGGAACAUAAGGAGAGGCUGCAGAGCAGGGAGUCGCAUGGGUUUCCCUCUGGGGCACUGGGGGUACCCUGGACCCGGUGCAGAGGUCCCCAUAUGUGGUGUCCCCAGAGGCUACAGGUUGGACUUCCUGCUGAGUGCAGCCAUCAGAAACUGCAUCCACUCACUGCCCUGUGACGUUCUCUGCCUCCGUCCUCCUCUCCUCCUCCUGCCAGUCACAGAGGACUGCGGGUUCUGCGGCUGAGUCCUGCAACACUGGGGUGGCCAGGCUCCCCUGGCCGAGUGCCUCCUCUCCUGUGCAGAGGUCACUGUGGCCUCCAGUUAGUCCCAUGCCGUCUUUCCUUGCGGGGGGAGUUGGGGGCGAGGUGCAAAGCUGGGAACCAAAGUGCUUUCGGGGUUCCCGGGUGUCUGCAGUUGCUCUGUAUUCUGGGGAAUCUGCCCGGGGUCAACACUCUCCAGGUAUUGUUCUGACUGUGGCAAGAAGGGUUGGGGCAGGAUCCUUGCUCCCCACUGGCUUCACUUGCUCCUCUUGCUCAGAGGGAGCUGUGUCUGCCUAUUAUCGGAUGCACAGGUGGAUGAGACUCUCUUGGGUCCUGGAUCCCACAGCAGCCAUAAGGGCACUUUGGUUGGCAGAGAGGUCUGAUUCUUUGUCGAACAUCUUACCCACCAUGAUGCUGACAUCAGUUUAGUGUUCUUUCUUCUUCUUGUCCUAAACCUAACUUACCUCGUCUGUUUUUCUUUUCUCAUUCAUUAACCAACUUCUCAGGUGUCGUGUUCCCAGAUCUUCACUUCCUGUACCAUCCCGUCUCCUCUAGUCACUGUGGACUUAAUCCUUUGGUUAUCCUCUGGUGGUUAACAGUCACCCCUCUUCCUGUCCUUUGGUGUCCGUAACCACAUCAAAUCUCUUUCUUCACCCAGAAGGAAAAAAAAAAAAACUUUUUAAAGCCCUGUAGACCCCUUCAGCAAGACUUUUAAUAACUUUAUGAUCUUAAAAGUAAUGUGCAUAGUAAACAUACGAAGGAGAAAAAGGAGGCAUCCCCAAAUCGAUAGUGGUUCUUCUGUAAUGCUGCUUCUCUAGCUGACUCCUCACCUAAGAUUUCUAAGCCUUCCCUAAUUCGUCCCCCUUCUACGUUUUGUGCUGUGUAUCCUACAGUCUUGUAGUCUUUUCUUCAUUGCACCUAACUCUGGUUUAUAAGUAGAAUGUUGUAUGUAUUCGAUACCCCCACUAGAUCAGAAACUACAUGGGAACAGGGAACGUCUUUUCUCAUUAUUAUAUACUCAGCAUCUAACACAGAUGCUGUAGAUCAAGUAUUUGUUAAAUUAAUGACGUUUACACUGUGUCAUCUGAGUUCCCUUAGCACUCUACACCUUCGGUUAUACUCUGCCCCGUUCCUGGAAGGUAGGGCUGUUAUCAUUGCACGACUUUAUUAAGCCACCCACAAUCUUCAAGGGGCAGAUAUUAGGAACCUGGAUCUUGACUUUGAGCAAUUCUGGGCCUCAGCUUUCUCUCCAGUGUGAGAUUAAGAAGUUAGAUUGGGUAAGAGUUUUCAAACCACCCUUUAGGCCCAUAGCGAUUUCUAGGAUGCCUUCCCAGAGCUGCCUAAUUGAAAUGUCACUUUAGAAUGUGUUGCCUGGGUGAUUUCUAAGUUCUAAAUCUCAGACUCUGAAACAACCAAGAACCUACCCUUAGCUCUAAUUCUGGCAAAAACAGAUUUUCUUGUCAGCUCCUCGGUAUCACGUAGGCCUUCUAAUACACAUGUGCUUAGUGAAGAUUGUCCACAGUGUCCUACCUUUCAGCUGUGAUCCCUGGGCAGCAGAAUCAACAUCACUUGAAGUACGAAAGUGGCACCACACCUGCUCCACCGACCCCAGAUCCCCCGGGCCAGACUCUGCAGUUUAGAUUCCCAGGUAUAUUUUCAAGAAAGGAUGACCCCAUCACUGACACCUGGGAACUUGUGAGCAGUGCAAGUGCUGGGGCCCAGCAAUGUCCUGAUGAGCUCUCUUGUGAUCCUCACAUCAGAAGUCUGAGAACCACUGAAUUAGGUGCUGAAGGCACAGACAAGGGCUGAGCCACACUGCAUCACAGUCUGGUCAGGAGGGUGACACCGACCUGCAUGGACACAGGCAUCACAGUUUUCACACUGUAGUAACUUGGAAAUGUUGCAACCGUGUCAACGGAGACAAAAAAGCCAAAGUAACACGAAUCUUACUUUCAUGCAGCUAUCAGGUAAAUAGUACAUACU